Molecule: long non-coding RNA, 1909 nt
Organism: Phyllopteryx taeniolatus (common seadragon)
Lineage: Eukaryota; Metazoa; Chordata; Actinopteri; Syngnathiformes; Syngnathidae
Exons: 3
Source: RefSeq, a predicted model, not a curated record
CAGAGGUGGUGAUUUUCCAGUAGCGGCUGUCGAGCUGGCAGGCCCCCUCGGGGUGCGCGCUGCUCGCCAUCUCGAUCCUGAAAACGACAUUUCGCUUGAAACCUCACCAGAAGCGACAGGGAGCAAGCAGAAGCACACAAACACUACCUGAUGCGCAUGUCAACACAACCGUAUGCAUAACACAAAAGCCACCUGUGAUGAACAUGUCGACGGCUGCAGGAUCCUGGGCUGUCUGAUCCUGGAAGAGAGGAAGGUGACAAUCACACAAGCAGCAGUGAGGGCCAUAUACUGGCUGAGGCCUGUGUGGAAGCAGAAGGUGAGCGGGAGGCAGCAUCUCAUCCCCUUCCUGUGCUGGAAGCCCCCCGCCGCUGUCUCCACAUCUAGCAGAACCUCUGAGCGAUAGUGGUUGGACAGCGACAUGCUCCCCAUCAGCCUGACAGGACACACACACACACACACACACACAUAUAUAUACUGCACGUAAAUAUUAGUGAUUGAACAAUGUUUUUUUUAGGGCCGAUCCCAAUUAUUAGUAGUCAAGGAGGCCGAUAACCGAUAAUUGGAGCAGAUAUUAGUUUUGCCUAAAAAGAAAAAUAUUGACGUCAAAAUUUGAAUAAUAAAAACUCCAACACUUGACUUCAUUCAAAUGUCUUUAAUCAUGUUUAUUAAUCAGCUUUCCAGAUUUGCAACAUGUUAGUCUUUUUAUCUUAGAAAAUAAUGCACCUUUGCUUUAAAAUUCUAACCAAAAAAUGCAGGGAGCUCCCAGGCUCAACAUCAUGUCUUACAAAGUCAAAUGGAAAAAAAAUAGCUCCUUAAAGUUUUCUAUAGUAAAUAAACAUAGAUCAUUUUACCCUUGAGAUUGUGUGAGUCCCAGGAUGCACAUGUCUGGAAACAAUGAGUCCCUGGAAGUCAUCAUCGCAGAAUACAAAUACAGUAACCCUUCGCUAUAUCACGGUUCGUGCUACGCAGUCCCGCUAUAGUGCAGAUUUUUACUACAGUUGCGUUUACAAUUGCUCUCUCUCUCUCCCAAUAUAUUAUGCGUUUCGUCCUGCAGGCAAAUUUUUUGGACGAUAUAUUUUCCUAAAAACUAUCAUGAUAAACGAUACUAUUAUUUUUUUAUGCCACUGAUAUAAUAUUAUAGCAUAUUAUCAGUCAACUACAUCCUUUUAAAGAACAAUAAACUUUUAAUUCUAAAGAAUAUUGAACAUUAACAUUGUAAUUUAGAACAGUAAAUAUUUUAUAUAAUAAUAAAUAAAAUAGACCCAGGCUCUGUUAAAAGAAAUUGCAAAUAAACAACAUUUCACACAGCGGUAUAGUCAUUAACUGACUAAAGAGAUUAAAAAAAGUCUUAAAGCCUGCCAAAUUUGAAUGAAUUAAAAAAUCAUUUACAAAAAACAGUGUUCUCAAAUGAUUUGGGCUUUAUCACUGUUUUUAAAUCAGAUGCAUUUUAAUAUCACUGUAUUUUUUUAUUAUUUUCAUUUAUUGUAUGAAUGUUGUCAUACUUUGUAAUUUCUGCCGCCUGUAUAUUUUCUGCUGCCUCUUGGCUUUUUAAAAAGAGAUUUUAUAGCUCAGCUUUUACCUGGUUAAAUAACUGAUUAACAAAAUGUAAAAUAAGGCCCACCCUCGAGCUGCUGGACUGUGAGACCGUCACCUGUCAAUCAAACGACGCUUAAAAUGAGUUCGCUGAAGUCAACUACUGCCUGAAUAUUGAUAACGUUUACCGCUGUGGUUAUGGUAAACAAUUCAUAUGUGCGUGAGUGUGCGCGUGUGUUAUGCGGGGAACAUAGACACACAACUCAGAGCACUUACAUUUUAAACAAUGUUGCCCCAGUCGAGUGAGCUGUUUACCUCCUUAGCUUGCUAGCUCGUUAGCUCGCAGGCUUGUGAACGUAAUAAAUUGUUAACUCUC